UACGAAGGGGGCUAGCGUUGCUCGGAAUUACUGGGCGUAAAGCGCACGUAGGCGGUCUUUUAAGUCGGGGGUGAAAUCCUGGAGCUCAACUCCAGAACUGCCUUCGAUACUGGAAGACUUGAGUCCGGGAGAGGUGAGUGGAACUGCGAGUGUAGAGGUGUAAUUCGUAGAUAUUCGCAAGAACACCAGUGGCGAAGGCGGCUCACUGGUCCGGUACUGACGCUGAGGUGCGAAAGCGUGGGGAGCAAACAGG
Molecule: ribosomal RNA, 253 nt
Filed under: uncultured bacterium
Lineage: Bacteria
Description: partial 16S ribosomal RNA
Rfam family: Bacterial small subunit ribosomal RNA
Source: RNAcentral